Long non-coding RNA from Stegodyphus dumicola, 1793 nucleotides. RefSeq lists it as uncharacterized. Lineage: Eukaryota; Metazoa; Arthropoda; Arachnida; Araneae; Eresidae. The record is from RefSeq and is a predicted model, not a curated record.
AAUACGCCUUUAUUAAAAUGUGAUACUCUGUAUAAAACUGAGGUUUGUGUACUGUGUCAUGAUUAUGUGUAAUGAAAAAUAUAUUUUCGAUAAUUAGUUCGUGUCCAGCAAUAAAGAUUAUGCUGAAUUCGGCUACAUCUGUCUACAGGUCUUCGAGUGUCAUCUUUCGAAUAAUGUGGUAAAAUAUCUCCAAGUCAUAAUGCAUAGAACCAUCGUCAAUCCGUUGAACCUUACUGCAAGUUUUUUUUUCACACGCACAUUUAUAUGUAUGGGAAUGCGCCAUCGAGUAGAUGUAGAGUCAAGCCGUAGGAGAAAGGGCCUUUGGAUCCCGAGUGCUAAGACAGAGUGAAUUGCGCAAUCAUUCGGAGAAGGACGUUGGUAAGAGCGGGACGACGAUGACGGUAUUCAAAGACGCAAUAUGUGUAAAAGACGGUUCAUUCUCUUCACUUGUAUAUAGUCUCACCUAUUUCGUUAUUCAUAUGUAAUCACCUUGCAGUUUGUAGCAGCUUUUCGUGUUUCCAUUAAACAUUCGAGUUAUUCAUAAGUCGGAUCAAUAAUUUCAAGCCCCUAGACACAGCCACCUAGGAAUUAUUAUUAAUAUGCGACAGCAGUCAAAAACAGAAAACCUGUGAUGUUACGGCAGAUGAUACCAGGAAAUAAGUAGUUCGAAGACCUCGACGCAAAUUUCCUCAUCUGGUUACUUCGGUGAAACGGCAGCGAGCCCAGAAUGUUUAAAAAUCUUGGCACCCAUCAAAGCCGCAAAAUGUAGCGGUACAGUAUUCAGAAUUUUGAUCCCUGAAUCAUCAAUAAGAACACUUUAACACCAUCCACAUGUUGUAAAUGCGAAAAAAAAAAAAAAAAAAAAAAAAAGAAAGAAAGACAGAAAAACACACACCCGGAAGGGGGAAUAAAAGAAACAUCCAGAAGAUGCAUCGAGGCACCUAACAGCACCAACAAUACCAACAUGGUUUAUUUCCGGUAAAGGCUGAACAAGGGCCCGUGGCCUCGAAAAACGAAGAUGAAAACCGCACGACAGAAGUUAAAAAAAAAAAAAAAAAAAUAGGAGGAGAGAAGAAGAAGAAGAAGAAGAAAGAGAGAGAUUGAGAAGUCGCGUUUUAGCUUGAGUGUGCAAGAUCAUUCCAUCGUUUGAAAGCUUCACAGGAGUUUAAAAUAGCUUGCCACCAGUUUCACGCGGCAGUAUUAUUGCUGCAGCAGACAGACGAAGCAGAUAUGAUGCCAAAGGAGAGAAGGGAAAUAAGUUAGGGCUCCUUGAAAAAUUCGGUUCUCUCGUCAAGGACGAAUUAUGGCUUUUCGGCUGUGGCACGUGCGGCUUUUAGAAAGAGAGAAAGUCUUCCUGUUUGGAUACUAAUAUAGCGUUGAGUGAACCCUAGUGCUUAGUUCACUAUCAAACUUCUGCCUUCGUCUGGCAAAGAAGCAUUUUUUUUUUUUUUUUUUUUUUUUUUUUUUUUUUUCCCCGUGGUAAGUUUUCUUUGAAGGACAGAAUUAAAGUUCCAGUGAUAUAAAAUAUUCUUCUCAGACAUCACUUAAGUUUCUAAACCUAAGCUUUCGUCCAUGAAAUUCAGGAAUGUUAUAACUAGAGAUUGUACUAUUUAUAGGGCAAUUAUGGAUUGUUCUAUUUAUAGUUUAUUUAUAGUAUCCCUGAUUUGGGAGCGGAAAAUUCGGGAAUUAAGAAUUUCUGAAUUGAUUAUUAAUUUAUUUUUCAAGAUAUAAGACUUCCUUUCGGAAAUGCUCAAGGAAAUUUAAAAAAAAAAAAAAAAAAAAAAAAAAAAAAA